CGGCGGCGGGUCUGUGGUUGAAAGUCGACGCCAGCCGCGGGCGAAACGACCCACGUAAACCGAAAAUUUCGGCGAGCAUGGCGCGGUUUAGCAGUCAGCCCGGCCGGGAAACCGAGAGGCACAGUAGUGGGGAGGCUUUAGCCUUAUGAGCGAGAUGCCCAGCCGGCGGAUGUGGGGGCAAAGACCAGGUCAGCCGCCGCCG
This 202-nucleotide non-coding RNA is filed under the name unclassified sequences. RNAcentral describes it as "raiA RNA". It matches the Rfam family "raiA RNA". The record is from Rfam by way of RNAcentral.